Molecule: ribosomal RNA, 463 nt
Filed under: uncultured bacterium
Lineage: Bacteria
Description: partial 16S ribosomal RNA
Rfam family: Bacterial small subunit ribosomal RNA
Source: RNAcentral
GACGAACGCUGGCGGCGUGCUUAACACAUGCAAGUCGAACGGAAAGGCCCUGCUUUUGUGGGGUGCUCGAGUGGCGAACGGGUGAGUAACACGUGAGUAACCUGCCCUUGACUUUGGGAUAACUUCAGGAAACUGGGGCUAAUACCGGAUAGGAGCUCCUGCUGCAUGGUGGGGGUUGGAAAGUUUCGGCGGUUGGGGAUGGACUCGCGGCUUAUCAGCUUGUUGGUGGGGUAGUGGCUUACCAAGGCUUUGACGGGUAGCCGGCCUGAGAGGGUGACCGGCCACAUUGGGACUGAGACACGGCCCAGACUCCUACGGGAGGCAGCAGUGGGGAAUAUUGGACAAUGGGCGAAAGCCUGAUCCAGCAAUGCCGCGUGAGUGAUGAAGGCCUUAGGGUUGUAAAGCUCUUUUACCCGGGAUGAUAAUGACAGUACCGGGAGAAUAAGCUCCGGCUAACUCCGUG